RNAcentral lists this ribosomal RNA (686 nucleotides) under Cunninghamella elegans. RNAcentral describes it as "eukaryotic LSU rRNA". It matches the Rfam family "Eukaryotic large subunit ribosomal RNA", at positions 36 to 660 of the family's 3401-position model. Lineage: Eukaryota; Fungi; Mucoromycota; Mucoromycetes; Mucorales; Cunninghamellaceae. The record is from RNAcentral.
UAGCAUAUCAAUAAGCGGAGGAAAAGAAAAUAACAAUGAUUCCCCUAGUAACGGCGAGUGAAGAGGGAAAAGCUCAAAGUUGGAACCUGGUGGGCAUAGCUCACCCGGAUUGUAAACUAAAGUUUUUGAGUCGUUUAGUCAGCCAGGUAAAUAAGUCCUCUGGAAAGGGGCGACAUAGAGGGUGAAAUCCCCGUCUUUGGCCUGAGUUUUGAUUAGGCGUUUGGCUUGGAAACGAAGAGUCAGGUUGUUUGGGAAUGCAGCCUAAAAUGGGAGGUAAAUCUCUCCUAAAGCUAAAUAUUGACGAAAGACCGAUAGCGAACAAGUACCGUGAGGGAAAGAUGAAAAGCACUUUGAAAAGAGGGUCAAAAAGUACGUGAAAUUGCUGAAAGGGAACCGUAUGAAAUCAGACUUACUGGUAGGUAAUCAAUCUUUCCCUUGGGAAGGAUGCACUUGCCUGCUAUGUACGCCAGCGACAUUUUGGUUGUGGAGGAAAAAAAUAGUUGGAAUGUAGCCUGGGUUUCGGCUUAGGUGUUAUAGACUACUAUAAAAUACUCUCGGCUAGAAUGAGGAACGCAGCAAACCGUAAGGCGAAGAUUUUAGGCGCUUGGGGGGGAUCAUUAGAGAAUUUCUGCUUCGGGUGGUGCUUUAGUGAUUUCGUUCAACUCGUUUGAAUUUCUUUUUAUUGC